Molecule: ribosomal RNA, 253 nt
Filed under: uncultured bacterium
Lineage: Bacteria
Description: partial 16S ribosomal RNA
Rfam family: Bacterial small subunit ribosomal RNA
Source: RNAcentral
AACGUAGGAGACAAACGUUAUCCGGGGUUACUGGGCGUAAAGGGCGUGUAGGUGGUUCUGUAAGUCUGGCGUGAAAUUUCUCGGCUUAACCGAGGCAGGUCGUCGGAUACUGCAGGGCUAGAGGACGGUAGAGGCGUGUGGAAUUCCGGGUGUAGUGGUGAAAUGCGUAGAGAUCCGGAGGAACACCAGUGGCGAAGGCGACACGCUGGGCCGUACCUGACACUGAUGCGCGACAGCAUGGGGAGCAAACAGG